UGAAGGCUAGGUGGGGACGCAUGUCCUCCUUUUUUUUUUGUUGUCUGUUAUGAGAGAGGGUAAUGAUGAGAGGUGGGAUUUUGGUAUGUGAUGGGGGACAACGUGUAUAUCCCUCCCCAAAAGAAGAUGAUUUCUUUCUUUCUUUUAUCCUUUUCUUUUUCGUUCUUUCCUUUUAUUUUAUAUUUUGGGAGAGAGACCGUUGCUGAGUGUUGAGAGAGGUCACUUAAUUCUUUUUCUUUUUGUUUUUUCGUCCCAUUUGACCGUUAGAGGAGAGAUAGAAAUUUAUGGGAAUUGCCAGUCGUGUACCACCCUUUGAG
RNAcentral lists this long non-coding RNA (317 nucleotides) under Lathyrus oleraceus (garden pea). RNAcentral's name for it is "Pisum sativum (pea) long non-coding RNA (PSAT_LNC016980)". Lineage: Eukaryota; Viridiplantae; Streptophyta; Magnoliopsida; Fabales; Fabaceae. The record is from RNAcentral.